Non-coding RNA from Triticum aestivum (bread wheat), 114 nucleotides. The record is from Rfam. Lineage: Eukaryota; Viridiplantae; Streptophyta; Magnoliopsida; Poales; Poaceae.
UAUAUACUCCCUCCGUUCGGAAUUACUUGUCUUGAAAAUGGAUGUACUAGAUGUAUUUUAGUUCUAGAUACAUCCAUUUUCGAGACAAGUAAUUUGGAACGGAGGGAGUACAUG